This 433-nucleotide ribosomal RNA is filed under the name uncultured bacterium. Its description in RNAcentral is "bacterial SSU rRNA". It matches the Rfam family "Bacterial small subunit ribosomal RNA", at positions 30 to 507 of the family's 1533-position model. The record is from RNAcentral.
AUUGAACGCUGGCGGCAGGCCUAACACAUGCAAGUCGAACGGAUCCUUCGGGAUUAGUGGCGGACGGGUGAGUAACACGUGGGAACGUGCCUUUUGGUUCGGAACAACUCAGGGAAACUUGAGCUAAUACCGAAUGUGCCCUUCGGGGAAAGGAUUUAUCGCCAUUAGAGCGGCCCGCGUCUGAUUAGCUUGUUGGUGAGGUAAAGGCUCACCAAGGCUACGAUCAGUAGCUGGUCUGAGAGGAUGAUCAGCCACAUUGGGACUGAGACACGGCCCAAACUCCUACGGGAGGCAGCAGUGGGGAAUCUUGCGCAAUGGGCGAAAGCCUGACGCAGCCAUGCCGCGUGAAUGAUGAAGGUCUUAGGAUUGUAAAAUUCUUUCACCGGGGACGAUAAUGACGGUACCCGGAGAAGAAGCCCCGGCUAACUUCGUG